This 218-nucleotide ribosomal RNA is filed under the name uncultured prokaryote. RNAcentral's name for it is "partial 16S ribosomal RNA". It matches the Rfam family "Bacterial small subunit ribosomal RNA", at positions 524 to 741 of the family's 1533-position model. The record is from RNAcentral.
GACGUAGGAUGCAAGCAUUGUCCGGAUUUAUUGGGCGUAAAGAGUUCGCAGGCGGUUUGUUAAGUCUAAUGUUAAAGAUCAGGGCUCAACCCUGGGACUGCAUUGGAUACUGGCAGACUGGAGUGUGGUAGAGGUAAGUGGAAUUUCUGGUGUAGCGGUGAAAUGCGUAGAUAUCAGGAAGAACACCAGUGGCGUAGGCGACUUACUGGGCCAUAACU